GUCAGAACAGCCGUGCUUCAAGCGUUCCUGGAGCCCAAGCUCUCCUCCACAGGUGAAGACAGGGCCAGCAGCAGACACCAUGGGGCACCUCUCAGCCCCACUUCACAGAGUGCGUGUCCCCUGGCAGGGGCUUCUGCUCACAGCCUCACUUCUAACCUUCUGGAACCCACCCACCACUGCCCAGCUCACUACUGAAUCCACGCCAUUCAAUGUCGCAGAGGGGAAGGAGGUUCUUCUACUCGUCCACAAUCUGCCCCAGAAUCCUCUUGGCUACAACUGGUACAAAGGGGAAAUGGUGGACGCCAACCAUCGAAUUAUAGGAUAUGUAAUAUCAGAUCAACUAACUACCCCAGGGCCUGCAUACAGCAGUCGAGAGAAAAUAUACCCCAAUGCAUCCCUGCUGAUCCAGAACGUCACCCAGAAUGACACAGGAUUCUACACCCUACAAGUCAUAAAGUCAGAUCUUGUGAAUGAAGAAGCAACUGGACAGUUCCAUGUAUACCCGGAGACUCCCAAGCCCUUCAUCUCCAGCAACAACUCCAACCCCGUGGAGGACAACGAUGCUGUGGCCUUAACCUGUGAACCUGGGACUCAGGACACAACCUACCUGUGGUGGAUAAACAAUCAGAGCCUCCUGAUCAGUCCCAGGCUGCAGCUGUCCAAUGGCAACAGGACCCUCACUCUACUCAGUGUCACAAGGAAUGACGCAGGACCCUAUGAGUGUGAAAUACAGAACCCAGUGAGUGCGAACCGCAGUGACCCAGUCACCUUGAAUGUCACCUAUGGCCCGGACACCCCCACCAUUUCCCCUUCAGACACCUAUUACCGUCCAGGGGCAAACCUCAGCCUCUCCUGCUAUGCAGCCUCUAACCCACCUGCACAGUACUCCUGGCUUAUCAAUGGAACAUUCCAGCAAAGCACACAAGAGCUCUUUAUCCCCAACAUCACUGUGAAUAAUAGUGGAUCCUAUACCUGCCACGCCAAUAACUCAGUCACUGGCCGCAACAGGACCACAGUCAAAACGAUCAUAGUCACUGAGUCUCCCGUCCUCGGAGAGGAUGAAGCUGUCCCAGGGCAACACCACCCUCAGCAUAAACCCUGUCAAGAGGGAGGAUGCGGGGAAGUAUUGGUGUGAGGUCUUCAACUCAAUCAGUAAGAACCAAAGCGACCCCAUCAUGCUGACCGUAAAGUGUAAGUGACUCCUCACCCCUUCCUAUGUCCCUGGAGGAUCACUCUGUCAAUGGUGUGCAAAAUGGAUAAAACUCACAGGAGGCAGAAUAUCAAUGAAGAGACCAUUAUAGCAAACAGAAUUGUAAAGUGGUUAAGAGCUCAGCUCAGGCCGGGCGCAGUGGCUCACACCUGUAAUUCCAGCAAUUUGGGAGGCCGAGGCGGGCGGAUCACGAGGUCAGGAGAUCGAGCCCAUCCUGGCUAAUAUGGUGAAACCCCAUCUCUACUAAAAAUACAAAAAAAAAUUAGCUGGGCGUGGUGGCAGGUGCCUGUAGUCCCAGCUACUCCGGAGGCUGAGGCGGGAGAAUGGCGUGAACCCGGGAGGCGGAGCUUUCAGUGAGCCAAGACCGCACCACUGCACUCCAGUCUGGGCAAGAGCAAGACUCUGUCUC
RNAcentral lists this small RNA (1619 nucleotides) under Pongo abelii (Sumatran orangutan). RNAcentral's name for it is "retained intron". The record is from RNAcentral. Lineage: Eukaryota; Metazoa; Chordata; Mammalia; Primates; Hominidae.